This 231-nucleotide RNase P RNA is filed under the name Jaculus jaculus (lesser Egyptian jerboa). Its description in RNAcentral is "Nuclear RNase P (ENSJJAG00000007018.1)". It matches the Rfam family "Nuclear RNase P". Rfam says of the family: Ribonuclease P (RNase P) is a ubiquitous endoribonuclease, found in archaea, bacteria and eukarya as well as chloroplasts and mitochondria. Its best characterised activity is the generation of mature 5'-ends of tRNAs by cleaving the 5'-leader elements of precursor-tRNAs. The record is from Rfam by way of RNAcentral. Lineage: Eukaryota; Metazoa; Chordata; Mammalia; Rodentia; Dipodidae.
GUAGAGGAAAACUCAUCAGUGUGGCCACAACCUGAGUGUGUCAUGUCAUUCCCAACCCUGUCCCUUGGGAAGGUCUGAAGCUAGGGCCACCACCCAGAUUUUAAGUCUAAUCCUGAGGAGUGUUCCACACAGUUUGAGCUCUGGUUGUGCUUGUUUGCUGGUUGUUGGUGCUUGCUGCCAUUGUUUUACCCUGCUAUGGACCUAUAGAAGCAAACCAGCUUCUUCUGCUAU